CUCGUAGGCGGCCAACUAAGUCAGACGUGAAAUCCCCAGGCUUAACUUGGGAACUGCGUCUGAUACUGGAUGGCUUGAGUUUGGGAGAGGGAUGCGGAAUUCCAGGUGUAGCGGUGAAAUGCGUAGAUAUCUGGAGGAACACCGGUGGCGAAGGCGACAUCCUGGACCAACACUGACGCUGAGGAGCGAAAGCCAGGGGAGCAAACGGGAUUAGAUACCCCGGUAGUCCUGGCCCUAAACGAUGAAUGCUUGGUGUGGCGGGUAUCGAUCCCUGCCGUGCCGAAGCUAACGCAUUAAGCACUCCGCCUGGGGAUACGGUCGCAAGGCUGAA
This 331-nucleotide ribosomal RNA is filed under the name uncultured bacterium. Its description in RNAcentral is "bacterial SSU rRNA". It matches the Rfam family "Bacterial small subunit ribosomal RNA", at positions 568 to 898 of the family's 1533-position model. The record is from RNAcentral.